RNAcentral lists this ribosomal RNA (486 nucleotides) under uncultured bacterium. RNAcentral describes it as "bacterial SSU rRNA". It matches the Rfam family "Bacterial small subunit ribosomal RNA", at positions 28 to 511 of the family's 1533-position model. The record is from RNAcentral.
GAUGAACGCUGGCGGCGUGCUUAACACAUGCAAGUCGAACGAAGCACUUUAUUUGAUUUCCUUCGGGGCUGAUUAUUUGUGACUGAGUGGCGGACGGGUGAGUAACGCGUGGGUAACCUGCCUUGUACAGGGGGAUAACAGUUGGAAACGGCUGCUAAUACCGCAUAAGCGCACAGCAUCGCAUGAUGCAGUGUGAAAAACUCCGGUGGUAUAAGAUGGACCCGCGUUGGAUUAGCUAGUUGGUGAGGUAACGGCCCACCAAGGCGACGAUCCAUAGCCGACCUGAGAGGGUGACCGGCCACAUUGGGACUGAGACACGGGCCCAAACUCCUACGGGAGGCAGCAGUGGGGAAUAUUGCACAAUGGGCGAAAGCCUGAUGCAGCGACGCCGCGUGAGUGAUGAAGGUCUUCGGAUUGUAAAACUCCUGUUGUUGAGGAAGAUAAUGACGGUACUCAACAAGGAAGUGACGGCUAACUACGUGCCAG